Molecule: ribosomal RNA, 464 nt
Filed under: uncultured bacterium
Lineage: Bacteria
Description: partial 16S ribosomal RNA
Rfam family: Bacterial small subunit ribosomal RNA
Source: RNAcentral
GACGAACGCUGGCGGCGUGCUUAACACAUGCAAGUCGAACGGAAAGGCCCCGUUGGUGGUACUUGAGUGGGGGACGGGUGGGUAACACGCGAGUAAGUUGCCCUUUACUUCGGGUGAACUUCAGGAAACUAGGGCCAAUAAUGGAUAGGAAUCCUUGCUGCAUGGUCGGGGUUGGAGAGCAUCGGCGGUUGUGUAUGGACUCACGGCCGAUCAGCUUGUUGGUGGGGGAGUGGGUUCCCAAGGCUUUGACGGGUAGCCGGCCGGAGGGGGUGACCGGCCAGGUUGGACUGAAGUUCGGGCCCAGGCUCUAACGGAAGGCAGCGUUGGGGAAUUUGCAGCAAGGGGGGGAGGCCUGAUGAAGCAACGCCGCGUGCGGGAGAACGGCCUUGGGGUUGUAACCCGCUUCCGCCUGGGAGAAGCUUGUGGUGACGGUACCGGCUGAAGAAGCACCGGCUAACUACGUG